GCGGUCGUGGCCGAGUGGUCAGGCCCCUGGUCGCCAUCCAGGUGAACACGGGUUCGAAUCCCGUCGACCGCU
Molecule: transfer RNA, 72 nt
Organism: Myxococcus xanthus DK 1622
Lineage: Bacteria; Pseudomonadati; Myxococcota; Myxococcia; Myxococcales; Myxococcaceae
Rfam family: tRNA
About the family: Transfer RNA (tRNA) molecules are approximately 80 nucleotides in length. Their secondary structure includes four short double-helical elements and three loops (D, anti-codon, and T loops). Further hydrogen bonds mediate the characteristic L-shaped molecular structure. tRNAs have two regions of fundamental functional importance: the anti-codon, which is responsible for specific mRNA codon recognition, and the 3' end, to which the tRNAs corresponding amino acid is attached (by aminoacyl-tRNA synthetases). tRNAs cope with the degeneracy of the genetic code in two manners: having more than one tRNA (with a specific anti-codon) for a particular amino acid; and 'wobble' base-pairing, i.e. permitting non-standard base-pairing at the 3rd anti-codon position.
Source: Rfam